This 406-nucleotide ribosomal RNA is filed under the name uncultured bacterium. RNAcentral's name for it is "partial 16S ribosomal RNA". It matches the Rfam family "Bacterial small subunit ribosomal RNA", at positions 28 to 526 of the family's 1533-position model. The record is from RNAcentral.
GAUGAACGCUAGCUACAGGCUUAACACAUGCAAGUCGAGGGACCGGCGCACGGGUGAGUAACACGUAUCCAACCUGCACUUUACUCGGUGAUAGCCUUUCGCAAGAAAGAUUAACACCUGAUAUAAAGGAUGGGGAUGCGUUGCAUUAGGUUGUUGGUGAGGUAACGGCUCACCAAGCCUUCGAUGGAUAGGGGUUCUGAGAGGAAGGUCCCCUGCAUUGGAGCUGAGCCACGGUCCAAACUCCUACGGGAGGCAGCGGUAGGGAAUAUUGGUCAAUGGGCGCUAGCCUGAACCAGCCAAGUAGCGUGAAGGAGGAAGGCUUUUGGGUGGUAUACUUCUUUUAUAUAAGAAUAUGUAUUAUAUGAAUAAGGAUCGGCUAACUCCGUGCCAGCAGCCGCGGUAAUUC